CUAGAUGUUGGGGGAAUCGACCCCCUCGGUGUCGUAGCUACGCGUUAAGUGUUCCGCCUGGGGAGUACGCACGCAAGUGUGAAACUCAAAGGAAUUGACGGGGGCCCGCACAAGCGGUGGAGUAUGUGGUUUAAUUCGAUGCAACGCGAAGAACCUUACCAAGGCUUGACAUCCUGCGAAUCUCUAAGAAGUUAGAGAGUGCCUUCGGGAACGCAGUGACAGGUGGUGCAUGGCUGUCGUCAGCUCGCGUCGUGAGAUGUUGGGUUAAGUCCCGCAACGAGCGCAACCCACGUUUUUAGUUGCCAGCAUUCAGUUGGGCACUCUAGAAAGACUGCCGGUGACAAACCGGAGGAAGGUGUGGACGACGUCAAGUCAUCAUGCCCCUUACGCUUUGGGCUACACACGUACUACAAUGCUGCGGACAAAGAGUAGCGAUCUUGCGAAAGUUAGCUAAUCUCAUAAACCGUGGCUCAGUUCAGAUCGUAGGCUGCAACUCGCCUACGUGAGGGAGGAAUCGCUAGUAAUCGCAGGUCAGCAUACUGCGGUGAAUACGUUCCCGGGCCUUGUACACACCGCCCGUCACACCAUGGAAGUUGGCCAUGCCCGAAGUCGUUACUCUAACCUUUUGGAAGAGGGCGCCGAAGGCAGGGCUAAUGACUGGGGUGAAGUCGUAACAAGGUAGCCGUAGCGGAAGCUGCGGCUGGAUCACCUCCUAA
RNAcentral lists this ribosomal RNA (716 nucleotides) under Candidatus Synechococcus spongiarum. RNAcentral describes it as "bacterial SSU rRNA". It matches the Rfam family "Bacterial small subunit ribosomal RNA", at positions 816 to 1533 of the family's 1533-position model. The record is from RNAcentral. Lineage: Bacteria; Bacillati; Cyanobacteriota; Cyanophyceae; Synechococcales; Synechococcaceae.